This 77-nucleotide transfer RNA is filed under the name Shigella sonnei. RNAcentral's name for it is "tRNA-Arg(acg)". It matches the Rfam family "tRNA". From Rfam's summary of the family: Transfer RNA (tRNA) molecules are approximately 80 nucleotides in length. Lineage: Bacteria; Pseudomonadati; Pseudomonadota; Gammaproteobacteria; Enterobacterales; Enterobacteriaceae. The record is from RNAcentral.
UGCAUCCGUAGCUCAGCUGGAUAGAGUACUCGGCUACGAACCGAGCGGUCGGAGGUUCGAAUCCUCCCGGAUGCAGC